GGGCAGAUGGCGGAACUGGCAGACGCGUAGGUCUCAAAAACCUAUGGGGGCAACCUCAUGAGGGUUCGAUUCCCUCUCUGCCCA
RNAcentral lists this transfer RNA (84 nucleotides) under Chlamydiota bacterium. Its description in RNAcentral is "Chlamydiae bacterium (groundwater metagenome) tRNA-Leu". It matches the Rfam family "tRNA". From Rfam's summary of the family: Transfer RNA (tRNA) molecules are approximately 80 nucleotides in length. The record is from RNAcentral. Lineage: Bacteria; Pseudomonadati; Chlamydiota.